UCCACCUGAAUGGUUCAACAAACAGAUUCAAAGUUCAGUGAACGCAUUCUAGCAAAUUCAUAAACUAGUUUUCCAAAGCAUGAUAAGAACACAUUUUUGGUAAACCUGCAAAACGAUAAGAAAUCAGAUGAGAUUGAAAACUCUGUUUUGAAAGACUACGAGCCUGAUGUUGAAUCCAUUAAAGCUUCAGGCAUCAAAAGGCCCCAACAAACACCUACCAAUAACAAAGGGAAUCUUGUUUAUGGCCGGAGGAAGACAGAAUCAGAACACCAUAAAAACAACAAUUGUAUCAAACCAAAUGAUCAACGUAUAAAACCACAUGAACACGAUGAAAAGAAUCAUGAACAAAAAAAAUCCAAUCAACGAUUCUACAAUACCUACUCACAAAGAUACAAAUGUUAUUUCACCUUCGGUUAUUAAUGAUUCAAAGGGAAUAUUAAGUAUUCAACAAUGGGAAGAGUGAUAUUUGAGAUUGCAGAACUUUUUAAAGGUUUUAGAUUUGUCAAAUCAAGAUGAUUAUUGCCAGAUGCUUCGCUCCCUCACAUCAGUUGGGCUUAGCAGAGUUGCAGUUGAACUAGAAAAAAGAUCAAUUCAGUUAUCUAUGGAGGAAGCAAGAGAAGUCCAACGUGCAAAACUUGUGGAUACAUUGCAUAAAUUUUCAACAACUACUGGAGAACACCCAUCAAACAAGUGAAGCAAUCGAUCCUGCAUACAGUUGUUAAUAAGUUGUUAAUAGUAACCAACUUUUUUUUUAAUCUUUAUUGUCAACUAACCUGUAAAAUAAUGAA
This is an RNA transcript of Lactuca sativa (garden lettuce), 788 nucleotides long. It is a transcript of the gene named zinc finger protein ZAT3 pseudogene, with no coding region annotated. The record is from RefSeq and is a predicted model, not a curated record. Lineage: Eukaryota; Viridiplantae; Streptophyta; Magnoliopsida; Asterales; Asteraceae.